This 58-nucleotide small RNA is filed under the name Celerinatantimonas diazotrophica. RNAcentral's name for it is "Pseudomonas sRNA P26". It matches the Rfam family "Pseudomonas sRNA P26". From Rfam's summary of the family: P26 is conserved across many Gammaproteobacteria species and appears to be consistently located between the DNA directed RNA polymerase (beta subunit) and 50S ribosomal protein L7/L12 genes. The record is from Rfam by way of RNAcentral. Lineage: Bacteria; Pseudomonadati; Pseudomonadota; Gammaproteobacteria; Celerinatantimonadaceae.
UUAUAGUAGAUUACAGCCUGAAUAAGGCAUUGGCUGGUGAUUUUUUAAUCACCGGCCU